Molecule: ribosomal RNA, 678 nt
Filed under: uncultured crenarchaeote
Lineage: Archaea; Thermoproteati; Thermoproteota
Description: bacterial SSU rRNA
Rfam family: Archaeal small subunit ribosomal RNA
Source: RNAcentral
AGUCAACAUGCCCAGAGGACGUGGAUAACCUCGGGAAACUGAGUCUAAACCGCGAUAAGUGAGGAUUUCUGGAAUGGUUCCUGACUAAAAUCUAUAUGGCCUCUGGAUUGGACUGCGGCCGAUCAGGCUGUUGGUGAGGUAAUGGCCCACCAAACCUGUAACCGGUACGGGCUCUGAGAGGAGGAGCCCGGAGAUGGGCACUGAGACAAGGGCCCAGGCCCUAUGGGGCGCAGCAGGCGCGAAACCUCUGCAAUAGGCGAAAGCCUGACAGGGUUACUCUGAGUGACUUUCGCUAAGAAAGUCUUUUGGCACCUCUAAAAAGGGUGCAGAAUAAGGGGUGGGCAAGUCUGGUGGCAGCCGCCGCGGUAAUACCAGCACCCCGAGUGGUCGGGACGAUUAUUGGGCCUAAAGCAUCCGUAGCCGGUUCUGCAAGUCCCCCGUUAAAUCCAGCUGCUCAACAGAUGGGCCGCGGAGGAUACUACAGAGCUAGGAGGCAGGAGUGGCAAGCGGUACUCAGUGGGUAGGGGUAAAAUCCGUUGAUCCAUUGAAGACCACCAGUGGCGAAGGCGGCUUGCCAGAAUGCGCUCGACGGUGAGGGAUGAAAGCUGGGGGAGCAAACCGGAUUAGAUACCCGGGUAGUCCCAGCCGUAAACGAUGCAGACUCGGUGAUGGGUUGGC